This 85-nucleotide non-coding RNA is filed under the name Celeribacter halophilus. RNAcentral describes it as "Glycine sequence". It matches the Rfam family "Glycine riboswitch aptamer". Rfam says of the family: This family represents the bacterial glycine riboswitch. Lineage: Bacteria; Pseudomonadati; Pseudomonadota; Alphaproteobacteria; Rhodobacterales; Roseobacteraceae. The record is from Rfam by way of RNAcentral.
CAUCGUGCGUCGGGAGAAGGGGCCACCCCUACCGAAGGAGCAACCGCCCCGGGAAACUCUCAGGUAAACGGACCUUCGCACGGUC